Molecule: non-coding RNA, 72 nt
Organism: Aedes aegypti (yellow fever mosquito)
Lineage: Eukaryota; Metazoa; Arthropoda; Insecta; Diptera; Culicidae
Source: Rfam
GGCUCGGUAGUUUAGUUAGUAAAGCGCUUGUCUAGCAUACAAGAGUCCUGAGAUCAAAUCCCAGCUGAUUUA